GGGAGCCUACGGGGGGCAGCAGUGGGGAAUAUUGCACAAUAGGGGAAACCCUGAUGCAGCAACGCCGCGUGAGUGAAGAAGUAUUUCGGUAUGUAAAGCUCUAUCAGCAGGGAAGAAGAAAGACGGUACUUGACUAAGAAGCCCCGGCUAACUACGUGCCAGCAGCCGCGGUAAUACGUAGGGGGCAAGCGUUAUCCGGAUUUACUGGGUGUAAAGGGAGCGUAGACGGCUGUGCAAGUCUGAAGUGAAAUGCCGGGGCCCAACCCCGGAACUGCUUUGGAAACUGUACAGCUAGAGUGCAGGAG
RNAcentral lists this ribosomal RNA (305 nucleotides) under uncultured bacterium. RNAcentral's name for it is "bacterial SSU rRNA". It matches the Rfam family "Bacterial small subunit ribosomal RNA", at positions 333 to 654 of the family's 1533-position model. The record is from RNAcentral.